GCAUAUCAAUAAGCGGAGGAAGGCU
This 25-nucleotide ribosomal RNA is filed under the name Dactylonectria macrodidyma. RNAcentral describes it as "partial 28S ribosomal RNA". Lineage: Eukaryota; Fungi; Ascomycota; Sordariomycetes; Hypocreales; Nectriaceae. The record is from RNAcentral.